CUGCAGAUUAGGCGGCGAACGCUCGGGAAAGGGCGAAGAACAUAAGAGGGUGAUGGGUUACUGCACUGAUCACUUAAAGAACACUUUAUGUUUGUAUAUUCUAUAGAUCAGUGGGUUGCUGUCAUGUGACAGCCACACACAAAAAACGGAAAUGCAUCAUAGAGCGAGAGCAAGCCAUGUGGGAUCCUUGCUCCUGAUAUCCUGAUGAUACUGUCCUGUAUGACUCCAACAGAACACUCACAGAAAGGAGAGCAGUGUGAUACUACAAGAUAACUAGCAACAAACCCCUUGUUUGUCCUUGUUUGGCUACUCAUUUGUCUACUUCCUGAAGAGGAGCAUGCUAGCCUCGACACCUCAGUUCUUGCUUCCAUUAACAGCUGUGUUAUGGAGCGCAUCCUCACAUCAUGGUCUACUGCAGCAGGUGGAUACGGAAGACAAUUGGUCCAAACCAUCUUGAAGCCUUUUGGACAGAGGAGCGGAUGACCGAGCUGGUUAACCUCUACAUAAAUAGACACAUGUCAAGUGGGUUUAUCAAGGCCCAAAUAUGCUGAGGAAUACAGGCUGCCUUGGUGGCCUAAGGAGUCAUGUCAAUGAUCAGCUGUUUGUUGAGGCAGCAGCAGCAGGAGCAGCACCAACAACAGAAGCAGCAGCAGCAGCAGGAGCAGCACCACCAGCACUAUAAACGCCAUCAGCAGCACCACCAGCACUAUAAACGCCAUCAGCAGCAGCGGCAGAUUAUAAAGAAGGAUAACAAUGAAUACAUGAAAUCAGAGUGGGAAGUUGUGCUUUUAUGUUUCAUAUAUACUGUAUAAAUAUAUGCACCUUACU
Sardina pilchardus (European sardine) is the source of this 828-nucleotide long non-coding RNA. RefSeq lists it as uncharacterized. The transcript is spliced from 4 exons. Lineage: Eukaryota; Metazoa; Chordata; Actinopteri; Clupeiformes; Clupeidae. The record is from RefSeq and is a predicted model, not a curated record.